Molecule: ribosomal RNA, 406 nt
Filed under: uncultured bacterium
Lineage: Bacteria
Description: partial 16S ribosomal RNA
Rfam family: Bacterial small subunit ribosomal RNA
Source: RNAcentral
AUUGAACGCUAGCGGCAGGCCUAACACAUGCAAGUCGAACGAGUGGCGGACGGGUGAGUAAUGUCUGGGCAACUGCCCGAUGGAGGGGGAUACCUACUGGAAACGGUAGCUAAUACCGCAUACCAUCGGAUGUUCCCAGAUGGGAUUAGCUUGUGGGUGGGGUAAAGGCUCACCUAGGCGACGAUCCCUAGCUGGUCUGAGAGGAUGACCAGCCACACUGGAACUGAGACACGGCCCAGACUCCUACGGGAGGCAGCAGUGGGGAAUAUUGGACAAUGGGGGCAAGCCUGAUGCAGCCAUGCCGCGUGUAUGAUGAAGGCCUUCGGGUUGUAAAGUACUUUCAGCGGGGAGGCGGUACCCGCAGAAGAAGCACCGGCUAACUCCGUGCCAGCAGCCGCGGUAAUUC